CCUGCACCUGCCGGCGACCGGCGCAUGGGUGAGUAACACGUAUGGAACCUGCCCGCCACAGGGGGAUAACCCGGGGAAACCCGGCCUAAUACCCCAUGCCGCCCGGACCGGGCAUCCGGUCCGGGCGAAAGGAGGAAUCCGGUGGCGGCUGGGCAUGCGGCGCAUUAGCUUGACGGCGGGGUAACGGCCCACCGUGGCGACGAUGCGUAGGGGUUCUGAGAGGAAGGCCCCCCACACUGGAACUGAGACACGGUCCAGACUCCUACGGGAGGCAGCAG
RNAcentral lists this ribosomal RNA (278 nucleotides) under uncultured bacterium. RNAcentral describes it as "partial 16S ribosomal RNA". It matches the Rfam family "Bacterial small subunit ribosomal RNA", at positions 74 to 354 of the family's 1533-position model. The record is from RNAcentral.